CAGAAGAAAUGAGCUCUCAUCAGUCACAGUAUCAUCGUUGAGUGAUGUCAGUUCUGUCAUGCCUGCAGCUGGAAACUAAUUUGUAACACUGGCCACCACUAGUCCUCUUCAUAAAAUGCAAAGUGGAGAGAGGUGUGAAGGUGAGCUUCAGGAACCCUUACUCACAUGAGCCACUUUCAAAGCCUGGAAACGUCCCAGGGAUGAUGUUCCAAGAUAAUGAAUACUUCCAUAGCAACAAAAGUCUGACGAUAAACUGUUACCUUGAUUUUCACAUGUUCAAAGAAAAAUCCCUCAAUGGCAACCAAACCAGAAGUCUCAGCACUGAAUAUGCAAUAAUGGCUACAAGGGAACCAUGUAUCUAUUUAAUUUUCUUAACAACACUGUUGAUUAUUCUCUUGGAAAGGAAUUCAGACUGGAUUAGAUGCUCUUAUUUUUCAGUUGUGUAGCUUGUCUUCUGCAAUUAAAAUGUGAAGCUGCUUUUGAAACAAUGCAGUUCUUGCUGCUCCUGCCUACAGUGAUCGAGAGUUCAGAAGAUGUGUUCUGAACACACCUGGACCAUAACCUCCAAAGCUAAAGAAGAUGCAGAUAAGGCAGAGCAGUUGCAGGCCCAGCAACCAUAAGAUGAUGAGAUGCAUGGACUACAAGAUGUCUGCUUCUCCUCUUUGUUCUUACUAAACAACUGGACCCUGAAGACAAUAGGCUCAGAGGAACUCAGGAUCUUGAUUCUGGUUGGAUUUGUGCUGUUUUUCUGACCAAGAACAAAGGUGGAAAAUCCACUUCACGUUUCUAGCAACAUUCCGGUUUCAUAGUAACACAAGUCACUGCUUUCAGAGAAGUGGACAUUUGGAAUUUUGUAAUAAGCCACAGCCUGAAUAUUUCACAUUUUAUCUGCAUGUUUGGGGACUGCGAGGACCCGCAGAACGUGAUGUGAUUGAGCACAGGCUGUGCCUAAUGCAGCAUUUGUAAUUCACGGAAGGAGAAAAGCUGGUAACAGCAGAAACGUACAUGUAUUUGAGCCAGA
Oryctolagus cuniculus (rabbit) is the source of this 1021-nucleotide non-coding RNA. Lineage: Eukaryota; Metazoa; Chordata; Mammalia; Lagomorpha; Leporidae. The record is from RefSeq and is a predicted model, not a curated record.